CACAUGGCUCGAGUGCCGUAACGAGAGUGUAGCUUUGGCACUGUAAGUUAACCCCCUUUGGAAAUAACUUGGUUUUGGAAAGCACUCUCUAUGCAGGCUGGAGUGCGGGCAGCUCAGGCCGGUUUUGUUUCGUUUGUAUUAUAUUAUUUGCGAGCUCAGGAUAGACAAAAGGCCUCCCUAAUGCUGCCAGUAGGCGAGGAAGAAGUCUGCUAGCUCCAUAGUUCUAUUAUCAACGGACCGUUGUCAUAAAAAUGGCCCAAACAGCUCACCAAACCCUUCCAAAAGCAAAACAAGAAAAUGCUACUCCUUUCAAUUCCCCCGACUUGCUGUCAACUGCAAGCAGUCACCAAUGCUUUCUGUGCUCGUGCGUGAAAGGUUCCUCAGCCGUGUUGGCAGACCGCAGCUGCUUCCUGAUGCUGUUUAUCCAAAACCCCACCUGCUGUCAAGGGCAGUGCUGGCCGUGUGAAACAUCUUCACAGCCAUGCAGCAGCUGUACCUAGUAGGCUUGAUUUCUGCAAUGAAUUACCAAGGGUAUGUCAUUUAAAACCCUCUCUUCUUCUCAGCCU
This 566-nucleotide long non-coding RNA is filed under the name Serinus canaria (Common canary). RNAcentral's name for it is "lncRNA (ENSSCAG00000007409.1)". The record is from RNAcentral. Lineage: Eukaryota; Metazoa; Chordata; Aves; Passeriformes; Fringillidae.